This 645-nucleotide ribosomal RNA is filed under the name uncultured bacterium. RNAcentral describes it as "bacterial SSU rRNA". It matches the Rfam family "Bacterial small subunit ribosomal RNA", at positions 110 to 753 of the family's 1533-position model. The record is from RNAcentral.
GUAACACGUAUGCAAUCUACCCUUAUCUGGAGGAUAGCCCAGAGAAAUCUGGAUUAAUAUUCCAUAGUACUGCGAAAACGCAUGUUUUUGCAGUUAAAGCUCCGGCGGAUAAGGAUGAGCAUGCGUCCCAUUAGCUAGUUGGCGAGGUAACGGCUCACCAAGGCUACGAUGGGUAGGGGUUCUGAGAGGAUGAUCCCCCACACUGGUACUGAGACACGGACCAGACUCCUACGGGAGGCAGCAGUGAGGAAUAUUGGGCAAUGGACGCAAGUCUGACCCAGCCAUGCCGCGUGCAGGAUGACGGCCCUAUGGGUUGUAAACUGCUUUUAUAUACCAAGAAACCCCCGGACGUGUCCGGGGCUGACGGUAGUAUAUGAAUAAGGACCGGCUAACUCCGUGCCAGCAGCCGCGGUAAUACGGAGGGUCCAAGCGUUAUCCGGAUUUAUUGGGUUUAAAGGGUUCGUAGGCGGGGAAUUAAGUCAGUGGUGAAAGCCUGUAGCUCAACUAUAGAAUUGCCAUUGAUACUGAUUUUCUUGAGUGUAUUUGGAGUUGGCGGAAUAUGUCAUGUAGCGGUGAAAUGCUUAGAUAUGACAUAGAACACCGAUCGCGAAGGCAGCCAACUAAGAUACUACUGACGCUGAGGAA